GACGAACCGUGCGAACGUUGUUCGGAAUCACUGGGCGUAAAGGGCGCGUAGGCGGACCACCCAGUCCGGGGUGAAAUCUUUCGGCUUAACCGGAAAAGGGCCUUGGAUACUGGUGGUCUCGAGGAAGGUAGGGGCAUGCGGAACUUCCGGUGGAGCGGUGAAAUGCGUUGAUAUCGGAAGGAACGCCGGUGGCGAAAGCGGCGUGCUGGACCUUUGCUGACGCUGAGGCGCGAAAGCCAGGGGAGCGAACGGG
RNAcentral lists this ribosomal RNA (253 nucleotides) under uncultured bacterium. RNAcentral's name for it is "partial 16S ribosomal RNA". It matches the Rfam family "Bacterial small subunit ribosomal RNA", at positions 524 to 776 of the family's 1533-position model. The record is from RNAcentral.